UCCUGGCCUGUCUCCUCUCCGCCGCGCCCUCCUCCCCGCGUCGUCCGAGUCCUCCGGGCGCGGUUCGCCGAAGGCGAGGCCCAGGCCGCCGCGCUCCUGGCCCGCGUCGGCCGGUUCGAGCGCACGCCGCCGACCGCGACCAGCUGCUCAUCACGCUCCUCUCCGCCGCGGGAAAUGGCCGGGAGGAGGAGGACGCGUGGGAGGCGGGGCAGCGUCCGAUCCGGCCGAGGCUUACGGCGACACGGACACGGAGGCUCUGGCCGCGGUCGCUGCGCUCCCUCCGUUCACUACCUUCCCGUGAGCUUACUUCCACCCUAGCCUCUCCCCUUUCCUCUUUGUUUUUUAACUGAUUCCCAACUGCUUGAUCAAUCCCGCUCCUCUGCUCCUGCUGGAUGGCUUUCUCUGUUCAAUUGCUUAAUUUGGUUGUCUUGUCUUACCUGAACUGCAAGGGAACCAACAUACAUGGCAUGAUGGAUGGAGAUCAGUAGAUGUUUUUUGUUCUAUUCACAUGCUUUCUACUAUAUAAUUUUCCCCCAAAAUAUGAUGGGUAGUGGUGUGCUUGCUUGCAUUGAUCGCAUGGUGGCCAGCACUUCACCACACAUCUGACGACGACUGUUUUAUCCAUGAGGUGGAGGAUAAGGUAUUCACCUCUAAAAUCACACUUCCGUUUUCCUGUUUCCAUCUGAAAUAUGGAUUACCAAUAUACUACUAUCACUUGGAUUUGCACAUGAAAGCAGUAUAAAUACUUGCACCGAACUGUACGAUUUGUUGAGCCAAGUGUCGAGUCUGAUAUUGUUUGGUGAGAUUCUCUUCAGAAAACAAGAUUUGUAUUGGUGGUAGAUCGACAGCAACUGACAGCAUCUUCGUCAUCCGCGGUGGCAGUGCCAUCCGCGCAGAAUGCCUUUAGCGGCCGCACCGCCGCCACCGACACCGCCACACAGCUAAUGAUGUCGGCAUGUGGUGAAAAAAGGGCCCAAGUGAAAGGUCGACCAAGCUGUAAAAAUUCAGUGAGAGGAAUUUUUGUGCUCACAGCUCACACCAUGGCGUCCGUUGCCUCUGUUCUUACUUUAUUAUUUUGUUUUUCCCUUCGUCAAUUUUUCACGACGCCUGACAAGAACAAGAAUUGCAAAGAAGAAGUGAAAAGAAAACACAGAACAAAGGAUGAACGCCGGAGAGCACUACUAUAUAAUUUUCCCCCAAAAUAUGAUGGGCAGUGGUGUGCUUGUUUGCAUUGAUCGCAUGGUGGCCCGCACUUCACCACACAUCUGACGGCGACUGUUUUAUCCAUGAGGUGGAGGAUAAGAGAAGCGCAUCUCUGAAAUUCACAGUUUUGAACCUAAAGAGACACAUCUAGAAAAUGAUUGCACGAGUGGUUCCAGUGUCAUGUACGUCAACAUGGUUGGAGAUUUGGGAUCGGAUGCUGCGUGAAGAGCGAGGGACCGAGGUGCUGAACUAACAGCAGGGGGAGGGUGAUUCUUCAGGUACCAACAUGGCUGUCGACUAGAGAAUUUAGUUAACCGUUUGCUUUACUUGAAGCUCCAAAUUGUAGUUAUUUUAUUCGUUCACUAAUUUGGUAUAAUCCUAAUCUAGGAGGACUAUGAUUGUAUGAUAUGAGAUCCUGACAUUUAUCAAUAAUAAAAGUCUGACACUGAAUGGUUCUUUUCGGAAGUACAGUUGUAAGAUCUAUGAUUCUAGCAUCGACCUUUAACUGGACAGUACUAAUUGGACAUAUAAUUGAUUAUUUAUUCACAACAAGAUAUUCUGUUUGUUUUAGUUUUUCAAUCAGAUUCGUCUAGCCCUUUGUUGACUUUCUAAUUGUUCCACCCUCUACCUCUGAAACUCAGAAAUCAGAGAAAGGUCAUUGGCAUAUCCCUAUCUCUGACGAAAAUUUGCUAGCGAGGAAGAGGACCAGAAUGUUUUUUUCUAUUGUUGGGGAUAUACAUAAUACAUAUAGAUAAAUUUGGACCAUUUAUAACAGAGAUUUCUUGCCAAAAUAAUUAACUCUGUCCAGCAGUGGGCACUGUCAAGGUAAUAACAGGAAUUUGCUGAACCUAAUUGAAAGAAAGAGGGAUGGUAAUCCGAUUGAGAACAUUCUCUAACUAAAAUAGACUUACGAACAAUCAACAAUAUCAAAUAGUUUCAAAUUAACAAAUGUUGUUUGAUUAAAAUACUGAUUUAAGAAUUUGGUGAAUCUAUAAUUCUCUACAUAAUCACUUGGUGCAUUGUUAGACCACUUGGGGACAAUAUCAUCAAUUUCUUGCAUACUGCAAUAAUGCAAGUUUAAAAAUCCAGUUUCUUGUGUUUCUUAUUAUCUCUGUGUUCAGCUAACUGCCAAGAAUCAUAUAAGGAUGCAUCUAAUGAGGUAGAUUUUGUUUAUGCAUUUUUUAAGUGUAGGGAUGCUGUAUCUGAUUAACAAAACAUUGUUCAACCUUCUAUGAGUCCACCUAGGGAGCUGCACAAAUUUGGAACAACUUCCAGAACAGGCAUCCAAACAUUUUGGUCUGCUACCAGUAAGCUGCCAGAGCAAGAUAGCUGGGAGUCUGGGAUGUCGAGUCAUCGAGCCGUCCAAUGCCAAGUUCGUCGGCGGAAGGAGAACAUCCGUCAAGCCGUCCAUCGCCUGAGGCGGCUACACCAGAGCACACAGCUUACAAACACACGGCUUCCGCUGGCUUGGCUAGCUUUGUACGUCCACUUUGCGCUACAAGUCGCCUUUCUACGCUGUCUUACAAUCUCGUAGUACAGACCGUGCUCCACCUGAGGUACGCCCGAUCUCAUGCCAAGCUUGCCAAGCUAACUACGGUUCUGUCGUUUUGAAAAAGGCAUGAACUUUCCUUUGUGCCUGCAACCAUAGGUUCCAUCAUCAUUACCUUGCGUGUAUAUGGACAGCUUGCACUCUUUAGGACUGAUAGAUGUGAAAUUAUUAGAUCUUUGCAUCAAUUACAGGAACAGCACAAUGUAAGAUAUGCAAGUUUAUCGAGAGGAAUGCAAAGAAAAAAAGCACAUGUAUGGUUUAUUUGGCAUCACCAGCUUUUGUGUUUUCAGUGUACAUCUUAGCCUAUGUAAACUGCAAGUUGAAUAAAGUGUGCUCUCUUUCUCUAGAAUACUUUCUUUAAUAAAUGUAGAACAUAAAAGCCUGAUCUUAAUAAGCGAGACCUCAAGCUGUUCUUUCAAGAUAGAUUCAGAUCAAACCUUUUCAAAGUAAAGAUCCCUCGGCCAGAGACUUAAGUUACUCCCGUGAGUACAUACUAAGCUUUAGUAGAAAAACUUGUUGAUUGACUGGAAUCAACGAAAUUUCGAUGCAACCAACUGCAACAAGUGGCAUCAUGAACUAGCUAUGAGAAAUAUUUAUAGGGUACUACUAGCAACCGCCAAGGAAUCCGUCACAAAAACAUGUCAGGCAGCUAGGCAUGCGAGUGAGAUGUGUGUCGGUAACAUUGGAUGUCUGUCUGUAAAUGUAAAUCAAGAAAAAUGGUUCUUGGUAUCUAGAGAAGAAAUAUAUACACACACACACACACACGAGAGAGUAAUUCAUAGUGGAUCUAAAAAUACCUAUUAAUGUUGUACAUUUGUUGACUCGACAUGCUGCAAGAUCUUCUGAUUUGUUCUCUAAAGGUGACCUCAGAGUAUAGCGUUGCAUAUUCCUGAGGCAAUUGUGAUGCUCUGUUUUGUUAGGACUAAGAUGCUUGAACAUGUAAGCAGUACACUAUCGAGCAAUAGAGAUCUUUCUCAUGCUGACUACAUGCUGCCAUUUGGGCCAUACACAUUGUUUAGUAACUAAUCAAAAAGUGUCAAAGGCUAGUACCAAAGCAAAUAUGAAUCUGCUAACUAUACUAAUACUGCCACAACUA
This is a long non-coding RNA of Triticum aestivum (bread wheat), 3848 nucleotides long. RefSeq lists it as uncharacterized. The record is from RefSeq and is a predicted model, not a curated record. Lineage: Eukaryota; Viridiplantae; Streptophyta; Magnoliopsida; Poales; Poaceae. The transcript is spliced from 4 exons.